AUUGAACGCUGGCGGCAGGCCUAACACAUGCAAGUCGAGCGGAUGAAGGGUGCUUGCUCCUGGUUUCAGCGGCGGACGGGUGAGUAAUUCCUAGGAAUCUGCCUGGUAGUGGGGGAUAACGUCCGGAAACGGGCGCUAAUACCGCAUACGUCCUUAGGUAGAAAGUGGGGGAUCUUCGGACCUCACGCUAUCUGAUGAGCCUAGGUCGGAUUAGCUAGUUGGUGGGGUAAAGGCCUACCAAGGCGACGAUCCGUAACUGGUCUGAGAGGAUGAUCAGUCACACGGGAACUGAGACAGGGACCAGACACCUACGGGAGGCAGCAGUGGGGAAUAUUGGACAAGGGGGGAAAGCCGGAUCCAGCAAGGCCGCGUGGGUGAAGAAGGUCUACGGAUGGUAAAGCACUUUAAGUAGGGAGGAAGGGCAGUAAGUUAAAACCUUGCUGUUUGGACGGUACCAACAGAAUAAGCACCGGCUAACUACGUG
RNAcentral lists this ribosomal RNA (484 nucleotides) under uncultured bacterium. Its description in RNAcentral is "partial 16S ribosomal RNA". It matches the Rfam family "Bacterial small subunit ribosomal RNA", at positions 30 to 507 of the family's 1533-position model. The record is from RNAcentral.